CGGCCCUACGGGUUGUAAACUGCUUUUGUACCGGAAUAAACCUUGAUACGUGUAUCAAGCUGAAUGUACAGUAAGAAUAAGGAUCGGCUAACUCCGUGC
RNAcentral lists this ribosomal RNA (99 nucleotides) under uncultured bacterium. Its description in RNAcentral is "partial 16S ribosomal RNA". The record is from RNAcentral.